Molecule: long non-coding RNA, 1649 nt
Organism: Drosophila teissieri
Lineage: Eukaryota; Metazoa; Arthropoda; Insecta; Diptera; Drosophilidae
Exons: 3
Source: RefSeq, a predicted model, not a curated record
AUUUGAAUUAAUUAUACUAAAAGUUGUGAAAAUAGAAACUCUUUUGCACCUGAUGCCCGACACAAAGCCUUGAGGAAGGAGCAGCAGAAUCCUUGUAGUUUUAUCUGCCUUUUGUCUGCGUAUGUGAAAUUAAGUGUAGACACACAACUCAGCUGAGGAUGCCAAAGGAAUUACUCAUCUCCGGGCGAGGACAGUGCGUUUCGCUGCUUUAAGGCGUUGGUCGUUCGCUAAGAAAAUGGUUUACCACUUUAAAUGAAUGGCAGGGGAUUGCGGUCGAGUCACAAUGGCAAUGGGAUUAAAUGCGAAAUAAAAUCGGAGACAGCGGCCAGAGGUCUCGACUAUCCGGGCUUAAAGAGGGAAACCCGAUGCCGAACACCCGGACACCGGACAGCGGACACCGGACAGCGGACACCGGAUUCCGGACUCCGGCAGUCUGGACUCCGGAUUGUGGAGCACAACAACGGGCACAAGUUAUCCGGACAAUGGACACCAUGCCGCUGACAGGCGUCUCACAAAAAGAUGAGGGCAUCCGAUGACGAGCUGAUAUGGGAUGAGAUGGGAGGCGGGAUCCCGCUGUUGCGGCUAAUGCGGCUGUUUUUGCUGCUGUUGCUGUUGCUGCUGCUGCUGCUGCUGUUCAUGAUGAUGAUGCGGCCUGCGAGUGGAGCUAUCCACCGCAUUGAUGUUGCUGUUGGGUUUUAUGGCCCCCGGGCAAAUGGCGCCUCAAAUGGAAAACAUGAAACCGAAUUAACAGCCAAACAGCCCAAGAAGACGACUGCGGCGGAAUGGUGAACGACUUCCGGAAACGUAUGCCGAAGUGGCCCGCUGCUCCUCCUCCUCCUUUCGGCAACCCGGGUAAUUAUCGCCUGACCGCCUGCCCGACUCCAAUCUUCCAUCGGCCUCCAUCUGCCUCCAAUCUUCCAGCUGCCUCCAUCUUCCUCCAAUCUCCCAUCUCCUACAGCGAGCACCCGGAAAAUGCCCCGUCAUGUGGUAGGCUUGGGCCCCGGGUUCCAACGAGUCCAUCGCCUCCUCUGAUGUCAUUGCGUGGCUUGAUGGAUUUGUGUAAUUUCUUUAUGGCAACCACACCCCCCCAACUAGCGCCCGAUUCGGGUCCACCCUAGAUGGCUGGGGGGCCACCCCUUUAUCCCAUCAUAAAUUGAAGCUGGAUUUAAUUACAGCCUUUCGGCCACGCCCAAGUUUCUCACACGCCCUUUGCGGCGACAGCUGCGUUUUUGCAAUGCGAAUUUGAAUUUGAAUUCGAAAGCUCGGGACAGUGGGACAAUUGGCAGUGAUGUCAAGCACAAAUUGCCAAAUGAUAGCUUAGCGAAAGGAAUGCAUAACAAAAUGUUACAACACAAAUAAUUACAAUUGAAUGGAAGAUUACUUAUUUGAGAAGUGCGGAAUUUAAGGGAAAAUAUCUAACAAGUGCUGAAUGUGCUGCGAUUUCAAAAUGAUUGCAACCAAAGCACUUGUGUGCCACCUCAGCACUUCCUCCGCCCCUUUUUUACAAAGGAGAAGGGGCGUGGUGGCAGAAGGAAUGCAUGUCAUGACCCAACACCAGCCGCAAAAUGUAAUUUCUAAUUCCGGGCAAAAAACAGUCCCAUUUCUCGUUUGAUUCUGGAAAAUGCACAGUAAACAAAUACCCAACAUGU